UUUAUGGAUUUAGCUUUAGCAGCUGGUGAUAUCCCUGUGAACUUGAGCACAUAUCUGCGGUAAGAUCACAUGAAUGCUUUGGUUGUGUAACUUGUGAAAGACGUCUUUCUCCAGCUGCCCCGAGCGCUGCCAGAGCUGUGACAGACUGCUGGAAACUCGUCUUCAUCAGGGUCUCCUGGAAACAUUUACAGAGCUUUCAAGAAGAAUUUAUUACGCAACUCAACAGUCGCUCCCACAGAGGAUGUCAUUCGGCUCGUGUUUCUGGGGCAUCUUCUGGCUGCUGGUGCUGCUGUUUCUCGGCUGGCCCUUGAGCAUUAUGCUGGGGGGUCUGUACGGCCUCAUCGCCCCUCUCACUGUCUGCCUGGGUCUGGACCGGCUGGCCGACCUGCUGAUGGAGGGGGCCAAUCUGGGCAGAACGUGUGCCCAGAACAUGAGGCAUGGCAAAGCGCUGUGCUGAGACCAAUAGCUAAGAGUGCUCAGCCUUCUACGUCUCUUCACUUCAGCUGUAUUAAGUCAACAUGAACUGUUCUUGACAGUUUACUGUGCCUUUGAUUCUGUGACUACAACAUAAUGUUUUCUUAAAGCCUUAGUAUCGCUUUCUUGCUUCCUCUCUGUAUCUCUUUCUCUUAGGCUGUUUGACUAUGAAAAAUGACAAUUUUCUGGUACUGGUGUCUUGAGUUCACAAUGUUGAAACACAUGAGUAUACUUAUAUUACAAGAAGAGUUUGUUCAAAUGCAAGAUGCAGGUCUUCAAAACCAUCCACAGAGUCUCCACACAGGCCACAAAACAGUCCGUUUCAGGUCAAGAAAGUGCAGAAGUAAACGUUUGUAUCAGUGCAUUAUUGUGCAUUUAUUCUGUUUGAAUCGAUAUGUCAAUAAUAUGAUUGAAUGCAAAAUAGUUAUUUAGAACUGCAACAUUCCUGUUCUCACAGAUUAAUGAAGAAACUGAUUUUCAGCUCCAUGUACUGCAGAAUAAUACUAAAACUGAUUUGUUACAUGAAAUAAAUUUUUUAUA
Molecule: long non-coding RNA, 1014 nt
Organism: Carassius carassius (crucian carp)
Lineage: Eukaryota; Metazoa; Chordata; Actinopteri; Cypriniformes; Cyprinidae
Exons: 2
Source: RefSeq, a predicted model, not a curated record